RNAcentral lists this ribosomal RNA (1675 nucleotides) under Escherichia coli. Its description in RNAcentral is "bacterial LSU rRNA". It matches the Rfam family "Bacterial large subunit ribosomal RNA", at positions 1270 to 2925 of the family's 2925-position model. The record is from RNAcentral. Lineage: Bacteria; Pseudomonadati; Pseudomonadota; Gammaproteobacteria; Enterobacterales; Enterobacteriaceae.
AUGCUGGAGGUAUCAGAAGUGCGAAUGCUGACAUAAGUAACGAUAAAGCGGGUGAAAAGCCCGCUCGCCGGAAGACCAAGGGUUCCUGUCCAACGUUAAUCGGGGCAGGGUGAGUCGACCCCUAAGGCGAGGCCGAAAGGCGUAGUCGAUGGGAAACAGGUUAAUAUUCCUGUACUUGGUGUUACUGCGAAGGGGGGACGGAGAAGGCUAUGUUGGCCGGGCGACGGUUGUCCCGGUUUAAGCGUGUAGGCUGGUUUUCCAGGCAAAUCCGGAAAAUCAAGGCCGAGGCGUGAUGACGAGGCACUACGGUGCUGAAGCAACAAAUGCCCUGCUUCCAGGAAAAGCCUCUAAGCAUCAGGUAACAUCAAAUCGUACCCCAAACCGACACAGGUGGUCAGGUAGAGAAUACCAAGGCGCUUGAGAGAACUCGGGUGAAGGAACUAGGCAAAAUGGUGCCGUAACUUCGGGAGAAGGCACGCUGAUAUGUAGGUGAAGUCCCUCGCGGAUGGAGCUGAAAUCAGUCGAAGAUACCAGCUGGCUGCAACUGUUUAUUAAAAACACAGCACUGUGCAAACACGAAAGUGGACGUAUACGGUGUGACGCCUGCCCGGUGCCGGAAGGUUAAUUGAUGGGGUCAGCGCAAGCGAAGCUCUUGAUCGAAGCCCCGGUAAACGGCGGCCGUAACUAUAACGGUCCUAAGGUAGCGAAAUUCCUUGUCGGGUAAGUUCCGACCUGCACGAAUGGCGUAAUGAUGGCCAGGCUGUCUCCACCCGAGACUCAGUGAAAUUGAACUCGCUGUGAAGAUGCAGUGUACCCGCGGCAAGACGGAAAGACCCCGUGAACCUUUACUAUAGCUUGACACUGAACAUUGAGCCUUGAUGUGUAGGAUAGGUGGGAGGCUUAGAAGUGUGGACGCCAGUCUGCAUGGAGCCGACCUUGAAAUACCACCCUUUAAUGUUUGAUGUUCUAACGUGGACCCGUAAUCCGGGUUGCGGACAGUGUCUGGUGGGUAGUUUGACUGGGGCGGUCUCCUCCUAAAGAGUAACGGAGGAGCACGAAGGUUGGCUAAUCCUGGUCGGACAUCAGGAGGUUAGUGCAAUGGCAUAAGCCAGCUUGACUGCGAGCGUGACGGCGCGAGCAGGUGCGAAAGCAGGUCAUAGUGAUCCGGUGGUUCUGAAUGGAAGGGCCAUCGCUCAACGGAUAAAAGGUACUCCGGGGAUAACAGGCUGAUACCGCCCAAGAGUUCAUAUCGACGGCGGUGUUUGGCACCUCGAUGUCGGCUCAUCACAUCCUGGGGCUGAAGUAGGUCCCAAGGGUAUGGCUGUUCGCCAUUUAAAGUGGUACGCGAGCUGGGUUUAGAACGUCGUGAGACAGUUCGGUCCCUAUCUGCCGUGGGCGCUGGAGAACUGAGGGGGGCUGCUCCUAGUACGAGAGGACCGGAGUGGACGCAUCACUGGUGUUCGGGUUGUCAUGCCAAUGGCACUGCCCGGUAGCUAAAUGCGGAAGAGAUAAGUGCUGAAAGCAUCUAAGCACGAAACUUGCCCCGAGAUGAGUUCUCCCUGACCCUUUAAGGGUCCUGAAGGAACGUUGAAGACGACGACGUUGAUAGGCCGGGUGUGUAAGCGCAGCGAUGCGUUGAGCUAACCGGUACUAAUGAACCGUGAGGCUUAACCUU